AAGAAAGUAACAUAGUGGUCAUGUGUUUGGCUUGAAACCAUAUCAUGGGGGUUCGAUUCCCUCCUUUCUCG
This 71-nucleotide transfer RNA is filed under the name Aseraggodes kobensis (milky spotted sole). RNAcentral describes it as "tRNA-Ser". It matches the Rfam family "tRNA". Rfam says of the family: Transfer RNA (tRNA) molecules are approximately 80 nucleotides in length. The record is from RNAcentral. Lineage: Eukaryota; Metazoa; Chordata; Actinopteri; Pleuronectiformes; Soleidae.